RNAcentral lists this ribosomal RNA (251 nucleotides) under uncultured prokaryote. RNAcentral's name for it is "partial 16S ribosomal RNA". It matches the Rfam family "Bacterial small subunit ribosomal RNA", at positions 524 to 774 of the family's 1533-position model. The record is from RNAcentral.
UACGGAGGAUGCGAGCGUUAUCCGGAUUUAUUGGGUUUAAAGGGUGCGUAGGCGGCUUAGUAAGUCAGCGGUGAAAUUUUGCAGCUUAACUGUAACAGUGCCGUUGAUACUGCCAGGCUAGGAUUUGGUUGCUGUGGGUGGAAUGUGUGGUGUAGUGGUGAAAUGCUUAGAUAUCACACAGAAUAUCGAUUGCGAAGGCAGCUCACAAAGCCAAGAUUGACGCUGAGGCACGAAAGUGUGGGGAUCAAACA